UUUGGAUAGUCUUUUUACAGCAAUCUCUUGCCCAUUAAGUAGCAGACCCUUAUAAACUGGGCCAAAACCACCCUGUCCAAGUAUGUUAGCUGGAGAGAAAUUGUUAGUGGCACCAAGCAUAGCGCUGAUACCAAAAAAUUCCAAGUGUGGAUUGAUUUCAAUUCCACCAAGCCCAUUUUCCGUCAAUCCAUCUUCAUGGAAGCUUAAACCAUCCAUAGGAUGAACUGAUCUUUUGUUCUUUUUGUCUCUCGUUGUCCUUUUCUUACUCCCCUUACUGAACCACAAAUACGCAAAUAUGAAUAUGACAAACCAUGCUGAAACAGAAGAAAGUACCAAAAUGGCUAUCAUCCCCUUUGUUUCAAAAAACCCUUUUGAUUUCCUUGCAAUCUCAGCUAAUUCAAGAGCAUCAACACGAAUAUACAGAUCAUACUUGCUUUCAUCCCCAAAAUUUACCGUAUCUAUUAAUACUCCAUACCAUGCCAAGCAACCCAUCCCUUUCCCAGCAAUGGGUAUGCUUGCAUAUGCAGCACACGAGCAAUUUCUCUUGCAUUCCUGUUCACAAUCCGACUGACUCAUACUCAUGUCCACCCAAACUGCUGCAGAAGUGUCAGGAACCUUAACAUGUUCCACUUUGACAAACCCUUCUCCAUGACCACACACCGACGAAGAUUCAAGUCGCUUCCUUACACACCCACUUGAUCCGUCUCUUAGAUGCCAGUCCUUUGGGGACUUGGGUUCAUACCCAGGUAAAC
This 752-nucleotide unclassified non-coding RNA is filed under the name Hevea brasiliensis (rubber tree). The record is from RNAcentral. Lineage: Eukaryota; Viridiplantae; Streptophyta; Magnoliopsida; Malpighiales; Euphorbiaceae.